AUUAAGGUAGCAAAGUGUUAAUGCGAAAGAUUUAGGAUCUUAUACCAAAGGUUAGAUUCCUUUCUUUAAUU
This 71-nucleotide transfer RNA is filed under the name Pteraster tesselatus. RNAcentral describes it as "tRNA-Leu". It matches the Rfam family "tRNA". Rfam says of the family: Transfer RNA (tRNA) molecules are approximately 80 nucleotides in length. Their secondary structure includes four short double-helical elements and three loops (D, anti-codon, and T loops). The record is from RNAcentral. Lineage: Eukaryota; Metazoa; Echinodermata; Asteroidea; Velatida; Pterasteridae.